UGUUCAACGCUAAAAAUUUUU
RNAcentral lists this non-coding RNA (21 nucleotides) under Caenorhabditis elegans. Lineage: Eukaryota; Metazoa; Nematoda; Chromadorea; Rhabditida; Rhabditidae. The record is from RNAcentral.